This 293-nucleotide ribosomal RNA is filed under the name uncultured bacterium. RNAcentral describes it as "partial 16S ribosomal RNA". It matches the Rfam family "Bacterial small subunit ribosomal RNA", at positions 505 to 796 of the family's 1533-position model. The record is from RNAcentral.
GUGUCAGCCGCCGCGGUAAUACAGAGGUCACAAGCGUUAUCCGGAUUUAUUGGGCGUAAAGCGUUUCGUAGGUGGGUUUAUAAGUUAUUUUUCAAAUCCCAAGGCUCAACCUUGGAAAGGGAGAUAAUACUGUAAGUCUUGAUUUUUGGUGGGGUAUCUGGAACUGAUAGUGUAGUAGUGAAAUACGUUGAUAUUAUCAGGAACUCCAAGGGCGAAGGCAGGAUACUAACCAAUUAAUGACACUGAGGAACGACAGCUAGGGGAGCGAAAGGGAUUAGAAACCCUUGUAGUCC